RNAcentral lists this ribosomal RNA (327 nucleotides) under uncultured eukaryote. RNAcentral's name for it is "partial 18S ribosomal RNA". It matches the Rfam family "Eukaryotic small subunit ribosomal RNA", at positions 1470 to 1796 of the family's 1831-position model. The record is from RNAcentral.
CCCUUAGAUGUUCUGGGCCGCACACGCGCUACACUGAAGGAGGCAGCGUGUACUCCUGGAUCGAAAGAUUUGGGUAACCCGCGAAUCUCCUUCGUGCUAGGGAUUGAGGUUUGCAAUUAUCCUUCAUGAACGAGGAAUUCCCAGUAAGUGCAGGUCAUAAGCUUGCGCUGACUACGUCCCUGCCCUUUGUACACACCGCCCGUCGCUACUACCGAUUGAAUGAUUUAGUGAGGACUUCGGACUGGGACCGAUGCGGCUUUCGGGCUGCGUCGGUAUUCUGGAAAGAUGUCCAAACUGUNUNAUUUAGNGGAAGUAAAANUCGUANCA